GCUUAUACAAUCACCUUACAAUCUCCAGCUGUUUAGAAGCACCCACUGCCUGAAGAAGAUGGUGUUUUCUGGUCAUCACUUGAUCCUAAGUGUUGGCUAUUACACCCCAGGACAGUCAAACUCAACUAUUUCAAUGGGGUGCCAAAUUGCCGAUGCAUAUAGCUACAUGCAAUAAAACUCUUUCUGAUGUAUGGUGGAGUUCUUGAGACGAUGACUGUUGAAGCCCUCCGCGUCUCUCUAGAAACUAUGGCAUUGCUAAGUUCUGAAAAACAUUUAACAGGUGCUUUCAGUAUGUCAGUGCUGUUAUUAUAGUAAUAGGGAUCAUUUGUAAGUAUCCUUCUGUGUUCUUGCUGAAGUAUAAUGAAUAUUCAUUGCCUGGACCAGAACAUUGACGUAAAUCCUAGUACCAUGAAAAAUAGUGUAUGGCUCGAAGUGUUUUAUCUGAACAUUGGUUUAGAGAAUUCUUCAGUUUCUAUGUCAAUAUUU
Molecule: long non-coding RNA, 486 nt
Organism: Papaver somniferum (opium poppy)
Lineage: Eukaryota; Viridiplantae; Streptophyta; Magnoliopsida; Ranunculales; Papaveraceae
Exons: 2
Source: RefSeq, a predicted model, not a curated record